Molecule: ribosomal RNA, 264 nt
Filed under: uncultured bacterium
Lineage: Bacteria
Description: partial 16S ribosomal RNA
Rfam family: Bacterial small subunit ribosomal RNA
Source: RNAcentral
UACGUAGGGGGCGAGCGUUGUCCGGAAUGACUGGGCGUAAAGGGUGCGUAGGCGGCCUGAAGGGUCCUGGGUGAAAGGCCCCGGCUUAACCGGGGAGGGUCCCAGGAAACCGGCAGGCUAGAGGGCUGGAGAGGGUCGCGGAAUUCCCGGUGUAGCGGUGGAAUGCGUAGAUAUCGGGAAGAACACCCGUGGCGAAGGCGGCGGCCUGGACAGUACCUGACGCUGAGGCACGAAAGCUGGGGGAGCGAACAGGAUUAGAAACCC